GAUGAACGCUAGCUACAGGCUUAACACAUGCAAGUCGAGGGGAAACGGCAUUGAGUGCUUGCACUCUUUGGACGUCGACCGGCGCACGGGUGAGUAACGCGUAUCCAACCUUCCCAUUACUGUGGGAUAACCUGCCGAAAGGCAGACUAAUACCGCAUAGUCUUCGAUGACGGCAUCAGAUUUGAAGUAAAGAUUUAUCGGUAAUGGAUGGGGAUGCGUCUGAUUAGCUUGUUGGCGGGGUAACGGCCCACCAAGGCAACGAUCAGUAGGGGUUCUGAGAGGAAGGUCCCCCACAUUGGAACUGAGACACGGUCCAAAUUCCUACGGGAGGCAGCAGUGAGGAAUAUUGGUCAAUGGACGGAAGUCUGAACCAGCCAAGUAGCGUGCAGGAUGACGACCCUAUGGGUUGUAAACUGCUUUUGUAUGGGGAUAAAGUUAGGGACGUGUCCCUAUUUGCAGGUACCAUACGAAUAAGGACCGGCUAAUUCCGUGCCGGCAGCCGCGGUAAUACGGAAGGUCCAGGCGUUAUCCGGAUUUAUUGGGUUUAAAGGGAGCGUAGGCUGGAGAUUAAGUGUGUUGUGAAAUGUAGACGCUCAACGUCUGAAUUGCAGCGCAUACUGGUUUCCUUGAGUACGCACAACGUUGGCGGAAUUCGUCGUGUAGCGGUGAAAUGCUUAGAUAUGACGAAGAACUCCGAUUGCGAAGGCAGCUGACGGGAGCGCAACUGACGCUUAAGCUCGAAGGUGCGGGUAUCAAACAGG
RNAcentral lists this ribosomal RNA (761 nucleotides) under Prevotella melaninogenica. RNAcentral describes it as "bacterial SSU rRNA". It matches the Rfam family "Bacterial small subunit ribosomal RNA", at positions 28 to 776 of the family's 1533-position model. The record is from RNAcentral. Lineage: Bacteria; Pseudomonadati; Bacteroidota; Bacteroidia; Bacteroidales; Prevotellaceae.